Molecule: ribosomal RNA, 253 nt
Filed under: uncultured bacterium
Lineage: Bacteria
Description: partial 16S ribosomal RNA
Rfam family: Bacterial small subunit ribosomal RNA
Source: RNAcentral
UACAGAGGUCUCGAGCGUUAGGCGGAAUCACUGGGCUUAAAGCGUGUGUAGGCGGAUCGUUAAGUGCCUUGUGAAAUCCCACGGCUCAACCGUGGAACUGCUUGGCAUACUGGCGGUCUUGAGCAACCUAGGGGCGAGCGGAACAAAUGGUGGAGCGGUGAAAUGCGUAGAUAUCAUUUGGAACGCCAAUGGUGAAAACAGCUCGCUGGGGGUUUGCUGACGCUGAGACACGAAAUCCAGGGGAGCAAACGGG